RNAcentral lists this ribosomal RNA (2391 nucleotides) under Triticum aestivum (bread wheat). RNAcentral describes it as "partial small subunit ribosomal RNA". The record is from RNAcentral. Lineage: Eukaryota; Viridiplantae; Streptophyta; Magnoliopsida; Poales; Poaceae.
AUGGGCCGUGCCCUUCUUUCUCGUGGCCCCUCCUUAUCUUUAUCUGCUGCAGGGGUGAGGCGGAUGCAAAGGAUCAACAUUAAGAUACGACUAUGCCUCUAUAUAAACACCACCAAACUAAAGGAGAUCUUUGCAGCGAAGGAGCACACCAGCAACAAGGCAAACACAAGUAGUCGAUCUCUUCUCCUCAUGGCACAUGUCAAACAGAGCGACACAAGGAGGACCGUGGCCAUCACUUUCCUGGUCCUUACGAUGAUGUUUGCUUCCAUUUUGCCACCCUGCCAUGCAGUCCAGAUUGUGGACGAGAAAUGUGUGUCUUUGCAAGGAUGCACCACAACUCAUUGCAAAGAUGAAUGCAUGCGACUAAUCGGGCACCAACGUCGCUGGGACUGGACUUGCAGAGAGGUUAAUACGUGUUGCUGCACAAAAUACGGGAAAGCGCCAUUUUGUUCGUGGCUCCAUGAUAUUUAUAUGUCCCUGGUUGAUCUACCGGUGUGUGGUGUGGUCGGACGAAGAAUUCGAGCCGUCGGAGCUCGGGUUAGCUUUCAGUUACCACUAGUGGAGUUGACUGGGGAAAGGCAGGCGGGGCAGAGGAAAGUGCGGACGGAACACGAGAGAGCGGAUCCUCCCCCGGCGCCGGCGGGCACCGCCGGAGAAGACGGACGUCCGCAGCAGCCCAUCCGGCACCGCGCAUCGCCGUCUCCUUCCCCAUCCGCAAGGCAAGGCCUCUCCUCUCCUCCGCCCAUCUGCCUCUGCGCCAGCACAACCCUAGGUUCUUAUUACUGGUGCAUGACAAGUUUGUUUGAUAGAGCUUGCCGUCAGCAGCGCAUCAUGCAAAACCCCAGCAAACUGUCCGCCGUCUCUCUAGCCAGACCCCCUGCUUUUUCCGGGCUCCAAGGUUGGGCUGACCUCCCAGAUGGCUUGCUCCAUUCCAUCGUUGCUCGGUUGGCCUCUGUCCGAGACAUUCUUGGCUUUGCUGCAACAUGCCCCUCUUGGCGUGCUGCGUUUUCCUACCCAUCCAAAUCUACGUUCCGCACAAAAUGUCCGCCUCUCCUCAUCCAACCCAAUGUUCGUGUACAAGGUCCUCUUCUUCCUUCUACUAAUGGUUGCCGUGAUAUGUACACAUGUAAGGUUAUUGAUCCAGCCAACCUGAAAGUCGCCCUUCAUUGCCAGAUUCCUCAAGAAACCCUGGAGAAGAUGACAUGUAUCGGCUCUUCCUAUGGUAAUCUCAUCUACUACCGCAAUCGGUAUUGUCGCAUGGUCGAUGUGUUCACAGGUGUGGAGGUUUCAGCUCCACGUCUCCCACCCAUUGCCAAGGGCCCAAAAUUUUGGCUGUAUGGCAUUUUAACAGCCCCCUUGGCAUCACACAAAUCACAUCUCCUUGUCAGCACCAAGUUCUACCUGUUUGAUUGGCCUAUCGGAAGCAACUCUUGGUCCCAAGUCCAGCUUCCUUAUAUGUUGAAAACGGACCAGAUUGUGGAAUUCAAUGGUCAGUUCAUUCUCUCGAAUGGCAAUGGGCGGUUCUACUCCGUGCAGCUGGCCCCGCAGCUUGGCCUGCAGGAGAUAACAACCGACAAGCAGGGCUGGAGUCAAGAACCUCGUGAUAUGACAGAGGUGCUGGUUUGUGGUGACAUGCUUAUCGUUCUCAUUCCCCUUGCUUAUGAGCUCUACCGCCUUGACUUGUCGACCAAGCCCACGACAGUGAUGACCUUGGAGAAGCUGGACGACUGGGCACUCUUUAUCCAGGCGGAAGAAAAGGGCACACCACUUUCGUGCAUGAGUCCGGAACAAUGGGGAGGAAGGAGCAACAGCUGGUACUACGCCGACGAUGGAUCUCUGCCUUGGACCCGGCCUUGGACUCUAGACGGUCCGUUUCAUGAGCCGGACCCUGUGCAGGAUGCGCCUCCCGUCGAUCCUGACGUGGGAAGCCAGGAUGGAUGGGGAGCGUGGAGCAACACCUCGCACUCUGCCGUCCUCGACUCUUGGUAUCUACACGAGCCGGAUCAUGUUUCGGAACCCGUGCAGGAGACACCAUCUGGCGAACCCGUCCCGGACGCGUGGGGAGCCAGUGCAGUUAGCUUUGCUGCCCUUGAGCCUUGGGAUCCACACGAGCCGGAUCAUGUGUCAGGACCCGUGCAGGACACACAAUCUGACGAAACCGGCGUGGAUGGGUGGGGAGGCAGUGCAGACAACUUUGCCUAUUGGCAUUCCCAUGAAAAGGAAGGUUUGCCGAUCUGGCUGUACCCAAGCAUGUUCUACUAUGAUGUACGGGAGCAAACAAUAACUCUGUUCUACUCUAUUGGUGCGCAACGUGUGCUCCCUCCUGCUUAUGUGGUUAGUUUGCUGGAGUUGCACACGGAUGAUGGAUCGGACAAGAUGUGGCUUAAUUAG